Long non-coding RNA from Cygnus olor (mute swan), 881 nucleotides. RefSeq lists it as uncharacterized. NCBI's taxonomy places the organism in Eukaryota, Metazoa, Chordata, Aves, Anseriformes, Anatidae. The record is from RefSeq and is a predicted model, not a curated record. The transcript has 3 exons.
UCUCAUUCCUGCUUUCUCUAGCAUGAGCACGCCAUUCCUCACACCAAAUCUGCUGCUGAGGUUUCAUUCCUCUUCCCCUCUGAAACAGGGCAGACAGCUGAUGAAGAGCCAGCACUCACCUUGACCCAGACUCGGAGCUUCAUCAGACUUUCUCAGCAGGAACAGUCAGGCUUGAAAUGAGAGGCAGUGCUUGGCAGGUGCUCCCAGGAGACUGGCCAAAAAUAAAUGGACUCCCCAGUUAAUUUCCACACUCGUACUAUGAACACUUCUCCUUUAAGAGUGCAGUUCAGGCAUUUGAUUUACGCAAGGCAAGGAGGUUCUUUAUUUGUUUGCAGUAGCAGUACCAAACCCAGCAUACAAUAGAGAAUAUUCAUACCCAUUUUAAGCACCUACUUAAGGUGCCCAGGCUCCCUAUACAGACAAGGGAUCUUUUAGGGUGGGAUUCAGAGCGCUGUAAUUAGCAACCUGCCUCUCACCUUUGAAUAUACCAGGAGUCUAGACAUCUAAUUUAGGCAGAGAAACUGGAUGCUUAAAAUUAGCCGGUACAAAUAGCCCCACCAGUGCACCCACACUGCAGCAGACCAGACAGGAGGCAGCGGGUGAUCUCCAGGGGCGCAUUCACAGCCAGUCCUAUUUGCAAGCUGGGAGAAGCAGAGGGAUGCUGUUUGCAGGGAGCUCUGCUCGGCUGUGACUUCCACCACGCAGCUGCAGCACAGCCCGAGCCUCCUUCCCCAGCUCAGCUGAUAACAGUGUAGCAAGGCUAUGCAUUGCUACAUGACAGCUCAUCCUGCUUUUAAAACAGCCGCACUUCAGCAGCAGUCCACCAGCUUUAAGAUAGAUCAGAAGAAAAUAAAAAGCCUAUUGCCUGCUCGAGCUUGGAG